Molecule: transfer RNA, 67 nt
Filed under: Festuca pallens subsp. pallens
Lineage: Eukaryota; Viridiplantae; Streptophyta; Magnoliopsida; Poales; Poaceae
Also listed under: 4 other names
Description: partial tRNA-Leu
Rfam family: tRNA
About the family: Transfer RNA (tRNA) molecules are approximately 80 nucleotides in length. Their secondary structure includes four short double-helical elements and three loops (D, anti-codon, and T loops).
Source: RNAcentral
GUAGACGCUACGGACUUAAAAUCCGUCGACUUUAUAAGUCGUGAGGGUUCAAGUCCCUCUAUCCCCA